CGUCAUGGCUGACGAAAAGCCCAAGGAAGGAGUCAAGACUGAGAACAACGAUCAUAUUAAUUUGAAGGUGGCGGGGCAGGAUGGUUCUGUGGUGCAGUUUAAGAUUCAGAGCAUCACUUAGUAAACUAAUGAAAGCCUAUUGUGAACAACAGGGUUUGUCAAUGAGGCAGACAAGAUUCCGAUUUGACGGGCAGCCAAUCAAUGAAACAGACACACCUGCACAGUUGGAAAUGGAGGAUGAAGAUACAAUUGAUGUGUUCCAGCAGCAGACAGGAGGUGUCUACUAAAAAGGGAACCUGCUUCUUUACUCCAGACUCUGUUCUUACAGACCAAGAUUACAUUCUCAAUUAGAAAACUGCAAUUUGGUUCCACCACAUCCUGACUACUACAGUACAGUUUUCUCUAUUCUUUCAUUUUCCCCUUCCCCGUUCCUUUAUUGUACAUAAAGUAACUGAUGUAUGUGCACACGCAUAUUGUAAUUUUUUUUUUUUUAACUAAAUGGCCAAUGGUAUGUUUUGAUUGACAUCAAGUGGAGAUGGGAUGGGAACAAAUACUGGUUCUGUGAAAAUACCCCCUUUCUCCAUUAGUGGCAUGCUCAUUCAGCUCUUAUCUUUAUAUUACAGUAAGUUAUUUUGCUCUCACUGUUUUA
Molecule: RNA transcript, 649 nt
Organism: Carlito syrichta (Philippine tarsier)
Lineage: Eukaryota; Metazoa; Chordata; Mammalia; Primates; Tarsiidae
Gene name: small ubiquitin-related modifier 2 pseudogene
Exons: 1
Source: RefSeq, a predicted model, not a curated record